Molecule: long non-coding RNA, 316 nt
Filed under: Triticum aestivum (bread wheat)
Lineage: Eukaryota; Viridiplantae; Streptophyta; Magnoliopsida; Poales; Poaceae
Description: long non-coding RNA (TAES_LNC018830)
Source: RNAcentral
UUAUUACAUCCAAUAUAUGAGUACAAUAGAUGUAAUAACAUCUUAUGUUAUGAACAGACGGAGUACUUCAUACAACUUUCAGGAAUUACACGGACACUUACUUGUGACAAAGUGAUCACAGAUACACCCACAUUAGCUCCUAGAAUGUACAAAUGCUUUCAACAUCGACACUCGUAGCACUGCAAUGAAAUACAAUAUUUUAGGACCCAGAACAGCGAAUGAGAAAAGGAAUGGCAAAAGAGUAUUGUGGCGCUGCACAUACUUAGUGCACCCCUCGAGGAUGCCGAUUUUAGGAUGCUGGAAGGAGAAACGAACC